Molecule: long non-coding RNA, 526 nt
Filed under: Bactrocera latifrons
Lineage: Eukaryota; Metazoa; Arthropoda; Insecta; Diptera; Tephritidae
Description: uncharacterized LOC108965151, transcript variant X1
Source: RNAcentral
CUGCUAUUGAAUUUGGUUUAUUGUUUAGAGGAGUUUUCGAAAGUUCACGUUAUUGUGUGCUGACUAUAGUAUUACGUAUGACAAUUUUCAUUGAGAAUACAUCAGUGAUGAAAUAACUCAACACCAGUCAAGUUUUCGAUGACACAGCGAAUAACGUCUUCGACUUGGAAAAUGAACUUGAAGUGGAUCACUGAUGACUAGAGUCCAUGCAGCCGCCUCUGUGAAUUUGGCUACCAUGAGUUACUGUAUAGUGGUGUGCACAGAGAAGAACAAUGGCAUCAAGAUAAUGGUACAGGAGCCCUGCGUGAUUGAAAAGUGUAAAAGAUGUCAAAUAGAGGAGUAGACUAAACUUUGCAGAUUCGUCAAAGACAGCGAAUGGUCAUGCAGCGUAACUUGCGGUGAGGACGUACGUUAGACUUUCCUUGUGAGGAGCAGAAGAUCACGCAAGUCAUUCGCCAGUCAAAAUGAUCGAACGAGUCAUUUAAAAUUGGACUCAAUGGAGAGGCCAUCUGAGACGUAGCCGCGG